RNAcentral lists this ribosomal RNA (619 nucleotides) under uncultured bacterium. Its description in RNAcentral is "bacterial SSU rRNA". It matches the Rfam family "Bacterial small subunit ribosomal RNA", at positions 338 to 950 of the family's 1533-position model. The record is from RNAcentral.
CCUACGGGAGGCAGCAGUGGGGAAUUUUGGACAAUGGGCGCAAGCCUGAUCCAGCAAUGCCGCGUGCAGGAUGAAGGCCUUCGGGUUGUAAACUGCUUUUGUACGGAACGAAACGGUGAGCUCUAAUACAGUUUGCUAAUGACGGUACCGUAAGAAUAAGCACCGGCUAACUACGUGCCAGCAGCCGCGGUAAUACGUAGGGUGCGAGCGUUAAUCGGAAUUACUGGGCGUAAAGCGUGCGCAGGCGGUGAUGUAAGACAGAUGUGAAAUGCCCGGGCUCAACCUGGGACCUGCAUUUGUGACUGCAUCGCUAGAGUACGGUAGAGGGGGAUGGAAUUCCGCGUGUAGCAGUGAAAUGCGUAGAUAUGCGGAGGAACACCGAUGGCGAAGGCAAUCCCCUGGACCUGUACUGACGCUCAUGCACGAAAGCGUGGGGAGCAAACAGGAUUAGAUACCCUGGUAGUCCACGCCCUAAACGAUGUCAACUGGUUGUUGGGUCUUCACUGACUCAGUAACGAAGCUAACGCGUGAAGUUGACCGCCCUGGGGAGUACGGCCGCGAAGGUUGAAACUCAAAUGAAUUGAGGCUUGGAGAGNGCGAGGACGACACGAGGGAGGAG